RNAcentral lists this small RNA (158 nucleotides) under Aliiruegeria haliotis. RNAcentral's name for it is "Pseudoruegeria haliotis 6S / SsrS RNA". The record is from RNAcentral. Lineage: Bacteria; Pseudomonadati; Pseudomonadota; Alphaproteobacteria; Rhodobacterales; Roseobacteraceae.
GCGGAUCUGUCCUUCCCGUGCCGGGGCCAAAUUCCAGUGGCCUUAAGCAAUUCCGAGGGAGCUGGCUCUGUCCGGACCCUGGUUCGGUUACCUGGCGCCCACCUGUAUAUACAGGUCCUCGGGAAUGAGUCGCCCUCACGGUUGCGCACGGUCCCCGC